GCCGACCGUAAUAAUUUCAUCUCACAAGCAUAAAGUUGUUUAUGAUAAAGAAAUUAAUUCCUACUGGCAAUAUUAACUCGCUUGGGGCUCAACUUACCACCAAUGUCCUCAUUAAUUUUUAGUGUAUGAGGUUCUGAAAAAAGGUUCAGAAAUUGUUCCAGCAUUUUGUUGGAGCUUAUAGUAACUAUAUAUCGUGUAUUAUUUGCCUUAUUGACAACAGAUCUAAGCCUUU
RNAcentral lists this long non-coding RNA (232 nucleotides) under Elaeis guineensis (African oil palm). RNAcentral describes it as "long non-coding RNA (EGUI_LNC015108)". Lineage: Eukaryota; Viridiplantae; Streptophyta; Magnoliopsida; Arecales; Arecaceae. The record is from RNAcentral.